This 545-nucleotide ribosomal RNA is filed under the name uncultured beta proteobacterium. Its description in RNAcentral is "bacterial SSU rRNA". It matches the Rfam family "Bacterial small subunit ribosomal RNA", at positions 239 to 776 of the family's 1533-position model. The record is from RNAcentral. Lineage: Bacteria; Pseudomonadati; Pseudomonadota; Betaproteobacteria.
GAUUAGCUAGUAGGUGGGGUAAAGGCUCACCAAGGCGACGAUCAAUAGCUGGUCUGAGAGGACGACCAGCCACACUGGAACUGAGACACGGUCCAGACUCCUACGGGAGGCAGCAGUGGGGAAUUUUGGACAAUGGGGGCAACCCUGAUCCAGCCAUGCCGCGUGCGGGAAGAAGGCCUUCGGGUUGUAAACCGCUUUUGUCAGGGACGAAAAGCUCCGGAGUAAUAUGCCGGAGUGCUGACGGUACCUGAAGAAUAAGCACCGGCUAACUACGUGCCAGCAGCCGCGGUAAUACGUAGGGUGCGAGCGUUAAUCGGAAUUACUGGGCGUAAAGCGUGCGCAGGCGGUUGGGUAAGACAGAUGUGAAAUCCCCGGGCUUAACCUGGGAACUGCAUUUGUGACUGUCCGACUGGAGUACGUCAGAGGGGGGUGGAAUUCCACGUGUAGCAGUGAAAUGCGUAGAUAUGUGGAAGAACACCGAUGGCGAAGGCAGCCCCCUGGGACGCAACUGACGCUCAUGCACGAAAGCGUGGGGAGCAAACAGG